CCGAGUUGUAAUUUGCAGAGGGAGUCUCGGAGGGCGCGCCGGUCCAAGUGCCUUGGAACAGGAUACCGCACAGGGUGAGAGUCCCGUAUCCGGCCGGGGUUGCGCUCCGUGUGAGGCCCCUUCGACGAGUCGAGUUGUUUGGGAAUGCAGCUCUAAGCGGGUGGUAAAUUCCAUCUAAAGCUAAAUACUGGCCAGAGACCGAUAGCGCACAAGUAGAGUGAUCGAAAGAUGAAAAGCACUUUGAAAAGAGAGUUAAACAGUACGUGAAAUUGUUGAAGGGGAAGCGCAUGGGGGCAGACUUGGACGCGGGGUUCAGGGUUUCUUUUGGAGCCUGUACUUCCCCGCGGACAGGCCAGCAUCGGUUCUGGGGGCCGGACAAAGGCGAGGGGAACGUGGCUCUCUUCGGGGAGUGUUAUAGCCCGGCGCGCAAUGCGGCCACCUGGGACCGAGGACCGCGCUUCGGCAAGGAUGCUGGCGUAAUGGCCUCAUGCGGCCCGUCUUGAAACACGGACCAAGGAGUCUAACAUCUAUGCGAGUGUUUGGGUGGCAAGCCCGGACGCGCAAUGA
RNAcentral lists this ribosomal RNA (567 nucleotides) under soil fungal sp. DM2-326. RNAcentral's name for it is "eukaryotic LSU rRNA". It matches the Rfam family "Eukaryotic large subunit ribosomal RNA", at positions 138 to 722 of the family's 3401-position model. The record is from RNAcentral. Lineage: Eukaryota; Fungi.